This is a long non-coding RNA of Papilio xuthus (Asian swallowtail), 245 nucleotides long. RefSeq lists it as uncharacterized. The transcript has 3 exons. The record is from RefSeq and is a predicted model, not a curated record. NCBI's taxonomy places the organism in Eukaryota, Metazoa, Arthropoda, Insecta, Lepidoptera, Papilionidae.
UGUAGGAAAAUAUUAGUUCAUUGCUAUAAAAAUAUGCCUAUUUGCUACGUUAUUUUCUUAGUAAUCUGUUCUUGUAAAGCACAUGAUUACUUGAAUGGUGAUAAAGUUUUCAAUAGACAGAAACUAGAAAGUUUACUUCAAAAGUACAUGAAACCAAUUAAAAAAUUAUCAGAACAGUUUCCGAAUCGCGAGAUCGAACUGCAAUUUGAAAUAGAUGGGAACAAAGGUCAUAUUGUAGCUUCGCC